Molecule: ribosomal RNA, 523 nt
Filed under: uncultured bacterium
Lineage: Bacteria
Description: bacterial SSU rRNA
Rfam family: Bacterial small subunit ribosomal RNA
Source: RNAcentral
AAUAGAUACCCUGGUAGUCCACGCCGUAAACGAUGUCGACUUGGAGGUUGUUCCCUUGAGGAGUGGCUUCCGGAGCUAACGCGUUAAGUCGACCGCCUGGGGAGUACGGCCGCAAGGUUAAAACUCAAAUGAAUUGACGGGGGGCCCGCACAAGCGGUGGAGCAUGUGGUUUAAUUCGAUGCAACGCGAAGAACCUUACCUACUCUUGACAUCCACGGAACUUUUCAGAGAUGAAUUGGUGCCUUCGGGAACCGUGAGACAGGUGCUGCAUGGCUGUCGUCAGCUCGUGUUGUGAAAUGUUGGGUUAAGUCCCGCAACGAGCGCAACCCUUAUCCUUUGUUACCAGCGGUCCGGCCGGGAACUCAAAGGAGACUGCCAGUGAUAAACUGGAGGAAGGUGGGGAUGACGUCAAGUCAUCAUGGCCCUUACGAGUAGGGCUACACACGUGCUACAAUGGCGCAUACAAAAGAGAAGCGACCUCGCGAGAGCAAGCGGACCUCAUAAAAGUGCGUCGUAGUCCGGA